ACACAUGCAAGUCGAACGGUAACAGGAAGAAGCUUGCUUCUUUGCUGACGAGUGGCGGACGGGUGAGUAAUGUCUGGGAAACUGCCUGAUGGAGGGGGAUAACUACUGGAAACGGUAGCUAAUACCGCAUAACGUCGCAAGACCAAAGAGGGGGACCUUCGGGCCUCUUGCCAUCGGAUGUGCCCAGAUGGGAUUAGCUAGUAGGUGGGGUAACGGCUCACCUAGGCGACGAUCCCUAGCUGGUCUGAGAGGAUGACCAGCCACACUGGAACUGAGACACGGUCCAGACUCCUACGGGAGGCAGCAGUGGGGAAUAUUGCACAAUGGGCGCAAGCCUGAUGCAGCCAUGCCGCGUGUAUGAAGAAGGCCUUCGGGUUGUAAAGUACUUUCAGCGGGGAGGAAGGGAGUAAAGUUAAUACCUUUGCUCAUUGACGUUACCCGCAGAAGAAGCACCGGCUAACUCCGUGCCAGCAGCCGCGGUAAUACGGAGGGUGCAAGCGUUAAUCGGAAUUACUGGGCGUAAAGCGCACGCAGGCGGUUUGUUAAGUCAGAUGUGAAAUCCCCGGGCUCAACCUGGGAACUGCAUCUGAUACUGGCAAGCUUGAGUCUCGUAGAGGGGGGUAGAAUUCCAGGUGUAGCGGUGAAAUGCGUAGAGAUCUGGAGGAAUACCGGUGGCGAAGGCGG
This 684-nucleotide ribosomal RNA is filed under the name uncultured Escherichia sp. RNAcentral's name for it is "bacterial SSU rRNA". It matches the Rfam family "Bacterial small subunit ribosomal RNA", at positions 51 to 724 of the family's 1533-position model. Lineage: Bacteria; Pseudomonadati; Pseudomonadota; Gammaproteobacteria; Enterobacterales; Enterobacteriaceae. The record is from RNAcentral.